This 73-nucleotide transfer RNA is filed under the name Camelus bactrianus (Bactrian camel). It matches the Rfam family "tRNA". From Rfam's summary of the family: Transfer RNA (tRNA) molecules are approximately 80 nucleotides in length. Their secondary structure includes four short double-helical elements and three loops (D, anti-codon, and T loops). Further hydrogen bonds mediate the characteristic L-shaped molecular structure. tRNAs have two regions of fundamental functional importance: the anti-codon, which is responsible for specific mRNA codon recognition, and the 3' end, to which the tRNAs corresponding amino acid is attached (by aminoacyl-tRNA synthetases). tRNAs cope with the degeneracy of the genetic code in two manners: having more than one tRNA (with a specific anti-codon) for a particular amino acid; and 'wobble' base-pairing, i.e. permitting non-standard base-pairing at the 3rd anti-codon position. The record is from Rfam by way of RNAcentral. RNAcentral also lists the same sequence under 2 other names. Lineage: Eukaryota; Metazoa; Chordata; Mammalia; Artiodactyla; Camelidae.
GAGGGUAUAGCUCAAGUGGUAGAGCACAUUCUUAGCAUGCAUGAGGUCCUGGGUUCAAUCCCCAGUACUUCCA